GUUUAAGGCCAUACCACCCUGAACGUGCCCAAUCUCAUCUGGUUUUGGAAGCCAAGCAGGGUUGGCCUGGAUAGUACUUAGACAAAUCUUCAGAAGAUACUACUCAGAGGCAAAAAGUC
This 119-nucleotide ribosomal RNA is filed under the name Castor canadensis (American beaver). The record is from RNAcentral. Lineage: Eukaryota; Metazoa; Chordata; Mammalia; Rodentia; Castoridae.